Molecule: ribosomal RNA, 254 nt
Filed under: uncultured bacterium
Lineage: Bacteria
Description: partial 16S ribosomal RNA
Rfam family: Bacterial small subunit ribosomal RNA
Source: RNAcentral
UACAGAGGUGCCGAGCGUUAGGCGGAAUCACUGGGCUUAAAGCGCGUGUAGGCGGGUCGUUAAGUGUCCGCGUGAAAUCCCACGGCUCAACCGUGGAACGGCCGGGCAGACUGGCGACCUUGAGGUGCUCAGGGGCGAGCGGAACGAACGGUGGAGCGGUGAAAUGCGUAGAUAUCGUUCGGAACGCCGACGGUGAAAACAGCUCGCUGGGAGCAUCCUGACGCUGAGACGCGAAAGCCAGGGGAGCGAACGGG